AAUUGUUUGAAUAGUAUUAGUUAAGUUCUUUUAAGCUCAAAUAACUUGGCGGUAAAAUACCUAUUUAGAGGAACCUGUAUAUUAAUUGAUAAUCCACGAUAAACUAUACUUUUUAAUUACUUGUAUAUCUCUAUAUUUUGGAAUGUUUUGUUAAAACAUUUUCUUUUUCUUAAGAAUUAUAUUAGGUCAAGAUGCAGUUUUUAUUAAGUUUUUAUGGGUUACUUUAAUUUUAAAAUUUUUAGGAUUUAUUUAGUAUUUAUAAAUUAUGAAUUAGGAUUUAAUAGUAAUUUUAAUUAAUUAAUUAAUAUGAAUUAAUGCACUGUUUUAUGCACA
RNAcentral lists this ribosomal RNA (333 nucleotides) under Baldulus tripsaci. Its description in RNAcentral is "partial 12S ribosomal RNA". The record is from RNAcentral. Lineage: Eukaryota; Metazoa; Arthropoda; Insecta; Hemiptera; Cicadellidae.